This is a long non-coding RNA of Cavia porcellus (domestic guinea pig), 598 nucleotides long. RefSeq lists it as uncharacterized. The record is from RefSeq and is a predicted model, not a curated record. The transcript is spliced from 3 exons. NCBI's taxonomy places the organism in Eukaryota, Metazoa, Chordata, Mammalia, Rodentia, Caviidae.
UAAUCACACAUGUGAGUUUUUGCCGGCUUCUGGGGAACAAGAAGAAAAAAAAAAAAAAAGCAAAUUCCACCUACCCCACCCAAAAAUAUUUAGUAAGUACCAGAAUACUGCUGGAAGCUGUGAACCAUUCCUACAGGUGCUGGCAGUACUGCAGAAGACCUGUCUCCACAAAAAUUCAGAACGAUUAUUUGCAUUUUUCCUGGUUGUAUUCAUCAUAUAGACACAGGAACUUUAUAAGGAAUUGAACUCGAGGCCUCACACUUGCCAGGAAGGCACUGAACUGCUAAGCUACACGCUGACCCUUUGUUCUGAAGAGUCACGAGUCAUGUAAUUAUGAGUGGAAGUGUCCUCUUAAUUUUAUUUUCAGAUUGCUCUUUACAGAUACAUAAAAUAUAAAUUAUUUUAUGCAUUGUAUUAUGCCAAUUUGAAGAGUUAAUUAGUAAUAAUAAAUUGUAACAGAUUUUCUCAAUAUGAUGUCAUUUCCAAAAAGUGAUAGUUACUUCUGUUUCAAUCUUGAUUCCUUUCGUUAUUUUUUUUCUUGCCAGUUAUUGUAUCUAGAACCUCCAGUACAGUGCUGAAUAAAAAUAACAAAAACAUA